GGCCCCAUCGUCUAGUGGACUAGGACGCGGCCCUUUCAAGGCUGAGAUCGCGGGUUCGAAUCCCGCUGGGGCUACCA
This 77-nucleotide transfer RNA is filed under the name Chloroflexota bacterium. RNAcentral describes it as "Chloroflexi bacterium (soil metagenome) tRNA-Glu". It matches the Rfam family "tRNA". From Rfam's summary of the family: Transfer RNA (tRNA) molecules are approximately 80 nucleotides in length. Their secondary structure includes four short double-helical elements and three loops (D, anti-codon, and T loops). RNAcentral also lists the same sequence under 2 other names. The record is from RNAcentral. Lineage: Bacteria; Bacillati; Chloroflexota.